RNAcentral lists this non-coding RNA (126 nucleotides) under Palpitomonas bilix. The record is from RNAcentral.
UGCGCAAAAGCACACAUCAUUCGUACAUGGCAAUAACAACAAAAGAGGCGAAAUGAAAAGGUGUUCAUGCUGCACAUAUAAGGGUGCCAGAAGAUAUUCCUUUCCUUUUGUUUUCUUGUUUUUUGA